This 171-nucleotide ribosomal RNA is filed under the name Bacillus sp. (in: firmicutes). RNAcentral's name for it is "Bacillus sp. (in: Bacteria) partial 16S ribosomal RNA". It matches the Rfam family "Bacterial small subunit ribosomal RNA", at positions 55 to 219 of the family's 1533-position model. The record is from RNAcentral. Lineage: Bacteria; Bacillati; Bacillota; Bacilli; Caryophanales; Bacillaceae.
AAAAUGCAAGUCGAGCGAAUCGAUGGGAGCUUGCUCCCUGAGAUUAGCGGCGGACGGGUGAGUAACACGUGGGCAACCUGCCUAUAAGACUGGGAUAACUUCGGGAAACCGGAGCUAAUACCGGAUACGUUCUUUUCUCGCAUGAGAGAAGAUGGAAAGACGGUUUCGGCU